RNAcentral lists this small nucleolar RNA (107 nucleotides) under Gossypium hirsutum (cotton). RNAcentral describes it as "Plant small nucleolar RNA R71". It matches the Rfam family "Plant small nucleolar RNA R71". From Rfam's summary of the family: R71 is a member of the C/D box family of snoRNAs containing the C (UGAUGA) and D (CUGA) box motifs. Lineage: Eukaryota; Viridiplantae; Streptophyta; Magnoliopsida; Malvales; Malvaceae. The record is from Rfam by way of RNAcentral. RNAcentral also lists the same sequence under 1 other name.
AAUCCGUAGUGUGGGCAUUUUUGAAUUAGUGUUUUAAAAUGCUUUCAUGCUUCAUGAAAGCUUUCCCCCUCUAACUAUUUGAACAUCGAAGUUUCCUUUCUUAGUUA